UGGUAAAAUGUGAUGUACCUAGUAAUAUUAGUGAUUAAUAUGAGGCUAACCGAGUUAGUUAAAAUUCUAAGUAUAUAUGUGAUUAUGACAAUAUGUGCUUAUUUCUUGACCAAGUCACGUGCCAGCCGUCGCGGUAAUACGUGGAAGAUCAGUGUUAUUCAUCUUUAUCAGGUUUAAAGGGUACCUAGACGGUUAAUUAAGCUUUAGUAGGAACUAAUUAACUAGAGUUUAAUGUAAGAAUGAUUGAGUACGGUGAGUGUAGAGAUAAAAUUCUGUCAUACCACUUAGGAACUGGUAAAAGCGAAGGCAACUUUCUAUGUAAAAACUGACGUUAAGGGACGAAGGCUCGUAUCAAAUAACAGGAUUAGAUACCCCAGCAUUGUGGGCAGACAAUGAUGAGUGUCAUAUGCAAGAGAUAAAAAAAAAAUAUUUUGUGUAUAAAUGAAAGUGUAAGCACUCCACCUCAAGAGUAACGUGGCAACAUGGGAACUGAAAUCAUUAGACCGUUUCUGAAACUCGUAGUGAAGUAUGUUGUUUAAUUAGAUGGUGCACAAAUAACCUUACCACAAUUUGUAUAACUAUAGUACAUAAUAAUAAUAUAGUUACAAGCGUUGCACGGCUGUCUUUAGUCUAUGUUGUGAAACUGUGGUUAGAUCCAUUAAAUAGACGUAAACCCUUACUUUAUUUAUUAUAAAGUAGUUCGCCGCUAUAUUGGUAGUGAUAUAAGGGACUAGGACAAGUCAUCAUGACCUGAACAUUGU
RNAcentral lists this ribosomal RNA (761 nucleotides) under Diploschistes diacapsis. RNAcentral describes it as "mitochondrial SSU rRNA". It matches the Rfam family "Bacterial small subunit ribosomal RNA", at positions 366 to 1210 of the family's 1533-position model. RNAcentral also lists the same sequence under 1 other name. The record is from RNAcentral. Lineage: Eukaryota; Fungi; Ascomycota; Lecanoromycetes; Ostropales; Graphidaceae.